This 537-nucleotide long non-coding RNA is filed under the name Panax ginseng (ginseng). RNAcentral's name for it is "long non-coding RNA (PGIN_LNC004503)". The record is from RNAcentral. Lineage: Eukaryota; Viridiplantae; Streptophyta; Magnoliopsida; Apiales; Araliaceae.
AUGAAUGUCCGUUUCAUUGCAGAGACCGAAGCUUUGAAGACUACUAAUGAGGGGCUUGCUGCAGCCAAUCAAAACUUGUCAAUACAACUCAGCGAAAUUCGGACGAAGGCUCGGGCUGAUAGGAAAGUCCAUAGGGCCAAGCGUCGUAAACUUCGUGGCAAGAUAAAGGCACUUCAGGAACAGGACCCUCCUCUGACUGAAGAAUUGCUCAAGCGGAUACAGGCGGAUUAUCGUACAUCUGACGAUCUUGGCGCAGAAAUUCUGAAAGUAUACUAUGAAGGAUACGAAGAUUGCCGAGGUAGGGGCAAGGAAAAGCUGGUGGCGGCCCGGAGAUGAAGCUGUUGUCUGAAGAUAAUUUUACUUUCUUUAAUUUAUAGGAUUUGUGUAAAAAAUUUCUAAUUUUGUAAUCAAAUUAAAUAUUAAUGAAAUGUGGUCUCAUCCCUUAUGACUUCGGUGCAUUUACUUUCUGCCAAUACUUCAAUAUUAAUUCAACUGGAAAAAUGUACAAACUCUUUCAUGGACUCAACUCGAACUUUU